CCUACGGGUGGCUGCAGUAGGGAAUCUUCCACAAUGGGCGAAAGCCUGAUGGAGCAACGCCGCGUGGGUGAAGAAGGUCUUCGGAUCGUAAAACCCUGUUGUUAGAGAAGAAAGUUCGUGAGAGUAACUGUUCACGUUUCGACGGUAUCUAACCAGAAAGCCACGGCUAACUACGUGCCAGCAGCCGCGGUAAUACGUAGGUGGCAAGCGUUAUCCGGAUUUAUUGGGCGUAAAGGGGACGUAGGCGGUGUUUUAAGUCUGAUGUGAAAUCCUUGGGCUUAACCGGAGGAGUGCAUUGGAAACUGGGAGACUGGAGUGCAGAAGAGGAGAGUGGAACUCCAUGUGUAGCGGUGAAAUGCGUAGAUAUAUGGAAGAACACCAGUGGCGAAGGUAGCUCACUGGGCUGUAACUGACGCUGAGGUUCGAAAGCGUGGGUAGCAAACAGGAUUAGAUACCCUUGUAGUC
RNAcentral lists this ribosomal RNA (465 nucleotides) under uncultured bacterium. RNAcentral's name for it is "partial 16S ribosomal RNA". It matches the Rfam family "Bacterial small subunit ribosomal RNA", at positions 338 to 795 of the family's 1533-position model. The record is from RNAcentral.